This 1380-nucleotide long non-coding RNA is filed under the name Homo sapiens (human). Its description in RNAcentral is "HSALNT0023458". The record is from RNAcentral. Lineage: Eukaryota; Metazoa; Chordata; Mammalia; Primates; Hominidae.
GUUUUCCAUAGCUGCCACGAUGCAAGAAAAACUGAAAAAACAACCCGGGUGAGAGGACAGUCUGUGCUGCUGGGCAGAGGCCAAAACCUGAAAACAAAGCAGAAACUCAGACCACAGGGAUUUGCAAACUUUUCCUGUAAAGGACCUGAUUGUAAGUAUUUUAGACCUUUGCGAUCACACAUACAGCCUCUGUUUCAACUACUCCGCUCUGCCGCUACAAUGCGAAAGAAGUCUUAGGCAAUAGAAAGGGCAUAGAAGCGUUCCAACAAUACCUCAUUUACGAAAACAGGUAGGGGGACAGAUUUAUCCCACUGGCCAGUUUGUCACCCUCAUGCUCUGUGAUAUGCCUUCUAAAUAAAACCAUUGUGUUUGUGCUGCAAAUACAAUUAUAGGACAAUUUCUCUUUCAACCAAACUCCUGCCUUCAAGCCCCUUCUAUGUAAAAACCCUGGAACCACCCUUGGUCCUGCAGAACAUUCCCGAUACCAGCUGAGGUUUCUGUGCACCAACUCAGGCGGCCUCCCUGGCCAGAGACAGGAGGAGCCAGGAAUUCUGAGUUAGUCCUGAAGACAGCCAGAGAUCAGAGAGGUCAGUGCUCUUGGCUAUUCACAUAGGAAGUUGGUUUUCUGUUCUUUUCCAGAGAACUGCACAGAUAAUACACAGAUCGAUGCCAAGUAAAACAAGAAGGAAAAGCUGGCUCUGUCCAGGAAAGAGCUGACAACAAACGUGUCCUGACUGGGAAACGCUUUCUGCUGCUUCCUCCCUGCUGCCCGGCAGUGAGGGGAGAGGUGGGACUGGGGCCAUCGGGCCCUCACGUGCCGGGCAGGGCUGCUGUGCUCAGCAGAGGAUGUCUGUACAAUCUCAUUUCCUUGAGAUUUUCAAGAAAAGGUGAGGUUUUCACUGCUUAGAAUGAGGGAUAGAGACAAGAUUUCUUGAAGAACAGGAAGGGCAAGACUUCUUACAGUUUUUCCCAGUGCUACUAUGAUAAUCAUCAUGGCCUGAUGAAGGUUAGAGUUCUAAUUUAUUAAUAGUUUCCUAAGUGCCAGGCACUGGACUAAAUGUAUAAUCUCCACUUUACAGAGACAGAAGCAAAGAUUUGAGAUAGCCUGUCUAAAAUCUCACUGUAAGUGGAAGAGCUGGAGUUUGAACCCAGAUAAACAGAAUGCACAGGAUGUGUGUGUGUCUGUGUGUUUGUGUGUGUGUGUAUGUGUAUGUGUGUGUGCUAUGUUUGUGUGUUUCUGUGUAUGUGUUUGUGUGUAUGUGUAUAUGUGUGUGCAUGUGUGUGUGUGUGUAUGUGUGGGUUUGUGUGUAUGUGUAUGUGUGUGUUUGUGUGUCUGUGUGUUUCUGUGUGUGUGUGUGUGUGUGCAUAAAGAGAGAGAGG